GCCAGUCACAGCUGACUAAUUCGAUCAGUUUAUCCAGUAAAUUCAACAUCUAACAACUGCAAUCCAAGCGGUCCAGACCUUUCUCAUGUCCUUCCAAGCGAUGCCACAGCCUCCUCAAGCUGUCCCUGUACCUCCUACAGUGAUGCAUCACACAGUUCCUUCGACGGUGCCAUCUGUGCCUUCUGUAGUGGUAGCUCCACAG
Molecule: long non-coding RNA, 202 nt
Filed under: Elaeis guineensis (African oil palm)
Lineage: Eukaryota; Viridiplantae; Streptophyta; Magnoliopsida; Arecales; Arecaceae
Description: long non-coding RNA (EGUI_LNC015368)
Source: RNAcentral